CAGCAGCCACGGGAAUACGAAGGGGGCUAGCGUUGCUCGGAAUCACUGGGCGUAAAGGGUGCGUAGGCGGGUCUUUAAGUCAGGGGUGAAAUCCUGGAGCUCAACUCCAGAACUGCCUUUGAUACUGAAGAUCUUGAGUUCGGGAGAGGUGAGUGGAACUGCGAGUGUAGAGGUGAAAUUCGUAGAUAUUCGCAAGAACACCAGUGGCGAAGGCGGCUCACUGGCCCGAUACUGACGCUGAGGCACGAAAGCGUGGGGAGCAAACAGGAUUAGAUACCCGCGUAGUCCCUGUCUCUUAUAU
This 301-nucleotide ribosomal RNA is filed under the name uncultured bacterium. RNAcentral describes it as "partial 16S ribosomal RNA". It matches the Rfam family "Bacterial small subunit ribosomal RNA", at positions 509 to 809 of the family's 1533-position model. The record is from RNAcentral.